This 510-nucleotide ribosomal RNA is filed under the name Salmonella enterica. RNAcentral describes it as "bacterial SSU rRNA". It matches the Rfam family "Bacterial small subunit ribosomal RNA", at positions 1 to 500 of the family's 1533-position model. The record is from RNAcentral. Lineage: Bacteria; Pseudomonadati; Pseudomonadota; Gammaproteobacteria; Enterobacterales; Enterobacteriaceae.
AAAUUGAAGAGUUUGAUCAUGGCUCAGAUUGAACGCUGGCGGCAGGCCUAACACAUGCAAGUCGAACGGUAACAGGAAGCAGCUUGCUGCUUCGCUGACGAGUGGCGGACGGGUGAGUAAUGUCUGGGAAACUGCCUGAUGGAGGGGGAUAACUACUGGAAACGGUGGCUAAUACCGCAUAAUGUCGCAAGACCAAAGAGGGGGACCUUCGGGCCUCUUGCCAUCAGAUGUGCCCAGAUGGGAUUAGCUUGUUGGUGAGGUAACGGCUCACCAAGGCGACGAUCCCUAGCUGGUCUGAGAGGAUGACCAGCCACACUGGAACUGAGACACGGUCCAGACUCCUACGGGAGGCAGCAGUGGGGAAUAUUGCACAAUGGGCGCAAGCCUGAUGCAGCCAUGCCGCGUGUAUGAAGAAGGCCUUCGGGUUGUAAAGUACUUUCAGCGGGGAGGAAGGUGUUGUGGUUAAUAACCGCAGCAAUUGACGUUACCCGCAGAAGAAGCACCGGCUAA